CGAGUGCUCCAAGCGUUAUCCGGAAUUAUUGGGCGUAAAGGGUGUGUAGGUGGUGUAGUUAGUCUUCUGUUAAAUUCUUCGGCUUAACCGGGGGCAUGCGGGAGAAACGGCUACACUAGAGGAUGCGAGAGGUGAAUGGAACUCAUGGAGUAGGGGUGAAAUCCGUUGAUAUCAUGGGGAACACCAAAAAGCGAAGGCAAUUCACUGGCGCACUCCUGACACUGAAACACGAAAGCGUAGGUAGCGAAUGGGAUUAGAUACCCCAGUAGUCUACGCCCUAAACGAUGACAACUAGCUUUUCGGAGUAUCGACCCUCUGAGAGGCGAAGCUAACGCGUUAAGUUGUCCGCCUGGGUAGUACGGCCGCAAGGCUA
RNAcentral lists this ribosomal RNA (373 nucleotides) under uncultured organism. Its description in RNAcentral is "bacterial SSU rRNA". It matches the Rfam family "Bacterial small subunit ribosomal RNA", at positions 526 to 896 of the family's 1533-position model. The record is from RNAcentral.